Molecule: long non-coding RNA, 1470 nt
Filed under: Catharus ustulatus (Swainson's thrush)
Lineage: Eukaryota; Metazoa; Chordata; Aves; Passeriformes; Turdidae
Description: lncRNA (ENSCUSG00005001402.1)
Source: RNAcentral
CCGGGAGCGGGGCUGGGCUGUGCGCCGGGAGCAGAGCCCGCAGCCGCAGGGGAGAACCGCCGGGAGCCACGGCGGGACCGGCAGCCCGCAGCCGCCGAGCUCGGCGCGGAGCAUCGGCACAUCCCCGUUCCGCCGGGGGCGGCUCUGCCAACCCCCCCGCCGCCUCCCCGCCUCUCUCCCUCCCUCCUUCCCUCCCUCCUUCCUUCCCUCCCCGCCCCUCCGGAGCGACAUCCCUGCGAGUUUGCCUGCCUGCCCGCGCCCGUCGCUGGGCGCUCGCCGCCGCAUCUCCCUCUCCAUCAACUCCUGGGAGCUGCCGGCGGAGGGCAGGGAGCAGAAGUUGCGGCCAGCCCGAGUGGAAAAGUAGCGGCAGAGCGGAAGAGGCCGAAGCCGAGCGCAGCCCAGCCCGGCCCAGCCGAGCGGGGCCGGCGCGGCAGCCGCCACCCGCAGCCCCCAGCCGGGGCUGGCCCCGCGCCCCGGGCCGCGCCGGCCGGAGCAGAGCGACGCAGCCCCGCGGGAUCCGGCGCGGACCCGCCGCGAAAGAGCCUACAUGCGAAGUGAAAGGAAACCUGAAACUCCUCUUCUUACAAGAAAGUUUUGGCUUUCUGCCUCUUUCACAUGUUUUCCUUUUGCAUCAUAAUGGAAGGAGCAGGAUUUUUUGAAUCAUCGUGGCCAAAUUUGGGCAUCGCUAGCUGAAGAAAAGAUUAAAAAAGACUUGAAAAUAUGUCAACAUGACUCUUAAUUCAGAUGCAUCUUUCACAGAGAGGAGUAGUGGUUGAAAGCGUUGCAGUUUCAUCAAAAGGAUCUAAUGGAAGAUCUAUGUUGAUUUUUUUUAUUAUUGAUUUCCUUCCUGUCCAUCCAUGAAUCCCAAACGAGAAAGAUGGAAAGAGUGUGUAAGGAGAUUGAGAAAAGGCGAAGAGUAAAGACAGUAACUUCAGUUUUGGAGUCAGUUUUGGAGUGUUGUAUAUUCCCUAUUUUAUCAAAUCUAGCACAGUAUUUUGAAUAAAUUUUAUAAUUUUGUGAUCAGUGGAGUUUUUGUCAGCUCUAAAAGUGGAAUUUGGACUGAUUGAAAGCUUUAAGCUUUUUGAAAAAGCAAAUGUAUGACUCCAAUUCCCUUUUCAGAUCAUGCUUUUCAGGUUACCUAGAGAUAGUGUUUCAGUCUGUUACUGUGCAGUUGACCUGAGCUUUAUAUGCGUAUCUUAGAGAUUUUGCUUUUUUCCUUGAUUUUAGUGCUUAUGCUUGUAGUGUUGUAUUUGAGAAAAGUGUGAACAGACAAGGCACCUGAGAUUUAACUUUUCAAGAGCCUUGUCAUUUCAAUGUUGUAUCUCAGAUUACAAGUAGCCUGAGCCUUUGUUGUAAUGCACAGUAUACAAUACGUCUUUUCUCAUAAAAAUAUGCCUUAAGAUUUUUUUUUUUUAACAAACUGGAUGAAAGUUUGAACACUGUUUUGUGAAGAAAUGUAUGUCUGGGGAA